UUUUAUUUCUUAGUUGUUUGACUUCUCGAGCUAAAAUCUUAAUCGGUUCUUCUUCAUAAGUCAUAUCCGGUCGCAGUUCAAUUUCUGUCGGUGAAAUUAUAUGUGAAGGAUCCGAACGAUACCGACAUAACAAGAUACGUGAAACACAUCAUGAAUCUUCUCUAAUUCGGGUGGUAACGCUAGUCGAUAUGCUACCGGUCCAACUUUUUCAAUUAUUUCAUACGGUCCAAUAAAACGCGGACUUAACUUGCCCUUUCG
This 258-nucleotide long non-coding RNA is filed under the name Gossypium barbadense (sea-island cotton). RNAcentral's name for it is "long non-coding RNA (GBAR_LNC009141)". Lineage: Eukaryota; Viridiplantae; Streptophyta; Magnoliopsida; Malvales; Malvaceae. The record is from RNAcentral.